RNAcentral lists this long non-coding RNA (227 nucleotides) under Elaeis guineensis (African oil palm). RNAcentral describes it as "long non-coding RNA (EGUI_LNC003803)". The record is from RNAcentral. Lineage: Eukaryota; Viridiplantae; Streptophyta; Magnoliopsida; Arecales; Arecaceae.
AAUCUAUUCCCUUAUACUCAAUAUAACCAUAAAAUUUUCUAAGAAAUGCUCAGCAUCUUAUGUUUACUUCCAUGGGAGACUGACUUAGGCAUCGGAGGAUCCAUCGUUGGAGAACCCCCCAGUAUGAGGACUUUUCUAUCUUUGGUGGUGUUAUAGAAUCUGAUUCAGAUGAUCGACCAUGGAUUCGGGGCUAGCAUCCCACCUGGAGGUCUGGACCAACUGUCUUG